RNAcentral lists this ribosomal RNA (297 nucleotides) under uncultured bacterium. RNAcentral describes it as "partial 16S ribosomal RNA". It matches the Rfam family "Bacterial small subunit ribosomal RNA", at positions 28 to 347 of the family's 1533-position model. The record is from RNAcentral.
GAUAAACGCUGGCGGCGUGCCUAACACAUGCAAGUCGAACGCCCUGGAGCAAUUCAGGGAGUGGCGGACGGGUGAGGAACACGUGGGUGAUCUGCCUUGAGGUGAGGAAUACCGGCGAGAAAUCGCCGACAAUACCGCAUAGGUUCGUAAGAACAAAGUCGCAAGACGCCUUGAGAUGAGCCUGCGUCCGAUUAGCCAGUUGGUGGGGUAAUGGCCUACCAAAGCAGCGAUCGGUAGCUGGUCUGAGAGGACGAUCAGCCACACUGGGAUUGAGAACGGCCCAGACUCCUACGGGGG